AACGAACGCUGGCGGCAUGCCUAACACACGCAAGUCGAACGAGAUCUUCGGGUCUAGUGGCGCACGGGUGCGUAACGCGUGGGAAUCUGCCCUUUGGUUCGGAAUAACAGUUGGAAACGACUGCUAAUACCGGAUGAUGACGAAAGUCCAAAGAUUUAUCGCCAGAGGAUGAGCCCGCGUAGGAUUAGCUAGUUGGUGUGGUAAAGGCGCACCAAGGCGACGAUCCUUAGCUGGUCUGAGAGGGUGAUCAGCCACACUGGGACUGAGACACGGCCCAGACUCCUGCGGGAGGCAGCAGUGGGGAAUAUUGGACAAUGGGCGAAAGCUUGAUCCAGCAAUGCCGCGUGAGUGAUGAAGGCCUUAGGGUUGUGAAGCUCUUUUACCCGGGAUGAUAAUGACAGUACCGGGAGAAUAAGCUCCGGCUAACUCCGUGCCAGCCGCCGCCGUAA
RNAcentral lists this ribosomal RNA (449 nucleotides) under uncultured bacterium. RNAcentral's name for it is "partial 16S ribosomal RNA". It matches the Rfam family "Bacterial small subunit ribosomal RNA", at positions 29 to 523 of the family's 1533-position model. The record is from RNAcentral.